Long non-coding RNA from Tarenaya hassleriana, 711 nucleotides. RefSeq lists it as uncharacterized. The record is from RefSeq and is a predicted model, not a curated record. Lineage: Eukaryota; Viridiplantae; Streptophyta; Magnoliopsida; Brassicales; Cleomaceae. The transcript is spliced from 3 exons.
GUAAACCAUUGUUGAUAUUUUCAAACCCUAAGCUACAUUGCUCUCUACCGACACUGCACCAUCGCCGAUUAGACCGCCUCGCUGCCUCGGACAUCGCUUGUCUCUGUCUCCGACUUCCUCUCGUCGUCGUUGUCGUCGUCUUGUCUAUCCUUGUAGCAGGUCUCGCUAUUUGUCUCUCGCACCGUUGGUUGAUUCAUUUAGGUCUCAUAGUAUCUUUGUGUUUUAUCUGAUUUGUGGUCUAAGGUUUCGCCGUUCCUUGUCGAAUCGCUUUCACAAUCGCCUCCAGUCGAAUACGACAAGAUCUAGCAAAUCAGAAUGAGGAGAGAACGAGGCUCACAAACAAACUUAACCGAGAAAUUCAUGCAUCGAGAGCUCAACUGGAAAACGCAAAACACGAUAUCGUCAUGUACUGCAUAGGCACUGUUUUGUCUAUAUCAGCGGUUGGACUGGCCGUUGUUCACAUCCUGUUGUAGGGUCUUUUCCAUCAUCUUAUGCUUAAAACGAAUUCAUUAUUUAAAUCUUAAUACGCCAUAACUAUUUUUCUCGCACCUAGAAGGAAAGAAAUCGUCGGUUUUCUUUCAUCCUAGGAUUCUUUUACAAAACUUGUCUGCUCCGCUCCCUUUCUAGGAUAGCUUGGUUUUGUAUUGUGCACAUUUGGCUUGUUACAUUUGACCAACCAUAUAACAUUUUCAAGCGUUGUUCUUUGAUUAA